This 467-nucleotide ribosomal RNA is filed under the name uncultured bacterium. RNAcentral's name for it is "partial 16S ribosomal RNA". It matches the Rfam family "Bacterial small subunit ribosomal RNA", at positions 28 to 507 of the family's 1533-position model. The record is from RNAcentral.
GACGAACGCUGGCGGCGUGCUUAACACAUGCAAGUCGAACGGAAAGGCCUCUUUCGGGGGGUACUCGAGUGGCGAACGGGUGAGUAACACGUGAGUAACCUGCCCUUGACUUUGGGAUAACUUCAGGAAACUGGGGCUAAUACCGGAUAGGAGCUCCUGCUGCAUGGUGGGGGUUGGAAAGUUUCGGCGGUUGGGGAUGGACUCGCGGCUUAUCAGCUUGUUGGUGGGGUAGUGGCUUACCAAGGCUUUGACGGGUAGCCGGCCUGGGAGGGUGACCGGCCACAUUGGGACUGGGAAACGGCCCAGACUCCUACGGGGGGCAGCAGUGGGGAAUAUUGCACAAUGGGUGGAAGCCUGAUGCAGCAACGCCGUGUGCGGGAUGACGGCCUUCGGGUUGUAAACCGCUUUCGCUCAUGACGAAGCUUUGUGUGACGGUAGUGGGUAAAGAAGCACCGGCUAACUACGUG